This 253-nucleotide ribosomal RNA is filed under the name uncultured bacterium. Its description in RNAcentral is "partial 16S ribosomal RNA". It matches the Rfam family "Bacterial small subunit ribosomal RNA", at positions 524 to 776 of the family's 1533-position model. The record is from RNAcentral.
UACGAGGGGUGCAAGCGUUGCUCGGAAUUAUUGGGCGUAAAGGGCAAGUAGGUGGUCUCGUUUGUCUGGGGUGAAAGCCUUGAGCUUAACUCAAGAAGUGCCCCGGAAACGGUGAGACUCGAGUACUGGAGAGGGUCGUGGAAUUCCCGGUGUAGCGGUGAAAUGCGUAGAGAUCGGGAGGAACACCAGAGGCGAAGGCGGCGACCUGGACAGUUACUGACACUCAACUGCGAAAGCGUGGGGAGCAAACAGG